CUUGAGCUCAGGAGGUAGAGGCUGCAAUGAGCUGUGACCGCACCACUGCACUCCAGCCUGAGCCACAGAACGAGAUCCUGUCUCAACCAACCAAACAAAGAGAUGAAGCCUAACUCCCCUCCAGCGGAAUCUGGGCAGGCUUGUCCCUCACUUGCAACCAGUAGAAUGCGGCGUGGCACGGCUUGCCUUUCGAGGCUAGACCCUGAAGGGCCCUGCAGCUUCCCCCUUGUGAGCUGGGACCCCUGCCUUUGGAGCUCGGAGGCCGCCACGUUGUGAGGAAGCUCAUGCCACACUUAGGGGCCACGAGGAGGUGCCCUAAGAGAGGACCCCACCAUCCUUCCUGAAAGGCAUUUUAGGGGCCACAACAGUCUGAUGAUUUUCCCACAAAGAGUACGAUGGGAUGCACCCCAGUUGAUGAAGAGGCUGCCUCUACCACCCAGUAUCCC
Long non-coding RNA from Sapajus apella (tufted capuchin), 446 nucleotides. RefSeq lists it as uncharacterized. The record is from RefSeq and is a predicted model, not a curated record. Lineage: Eukaryota; Metazoa; Chordata; Mammalia; Primates; Cebidae. The transcript has 3 exons.